AGUGAACGCUGGCGGUAGGCCUAACACAUGCAAGUCGAACGGCAGCACAGUAAGAGCUUGCUCUUACGGGUGGCGAGUGGCGGACGGGUGAGGAAUACAUCGGAAUCUACUUUUUCGUGGGGGAUAACGUAGGGAAACUUACGCUAAUACCGCAUACGACCUACGGGUGAAAGCAGGGGAUCUUCGGACCUUGCGCGAUUGAAUGAGCCGAUGUCGGAUUAGCUAGUUGGCGGGGUAAAGGCCCACCAAGGCGACGAUCCGUAGCUGGUCUGAGAGGAUGAUCGGCCACACUGGAACUGAGACACGGUCCAGACUCCUACGGGAGGCAGCAGUAGGGAAUAUUGGGCAAUGGGCGCAAGCCUGAUCCAGCCAUACCGCGUGGGUGAAGAAGGCCUUCGGGUUGUAAAGCCCUGUUGUUGGGAAAGAAAAGCAGCAGGUUAAUACCCCGCUGUUCUGACGGUACCCAAAGAAUAAGCACCGGCUAACUUCGUG
This 492-nucleotide ribosomal RNA is filed under the name uncultured bacterium. Its description in RNAcentral is "partial 16S ribosomal RNA". It matches the Rfam family "Bacterial small subunit ribosomal RNA", at positions 29 to 507 of the family's 1533-position model. The record is from RNAcentral.